RNAcentral lists this transfer RNA (74 nucleotides) under Apaloderma vittatum (bar-tailed trogon). It matches the Rfam family "tRNA". Rfam says of the family: Transfer RNA (tRNA) molecules are approximately 80 nucleotides in length. The record is from Rfam by way of RNAcentral. Lineage: Eukaryota; Metazoa; Chordata; Aves; Trogoniformes; Trogonidae.
GGCCAGUUAGCUCAGUCGGUUAGAGCGUGGUGCUGAUAACACCAAGGUCACGGGUUCGAUCCCUGUUCAAUCCC